RNAcentral lists this ribosomal RNA (860 nucleotides) under uncultured bacterium. RNAcentral describes it as "bacterial SSU rRNA". It matches the Rfam family "Bacterial small subunit ribosomal RNA", at positions 60 to 919 of the family's 1533-position model. The record is from RNAcentral.
AGUCGAACGAGAAUCUGUGGAUCGAGGAUUCGUCCAAGUGAAGCAGAGGACAGUGGCGGACGGGUGAGUAACGCGUGAGGAACCUGCCUUUCAGAGGGGGACAACAGUUGGAAACGACUGCUAAUACCGCAUGAUACAUUUGGGUGGCAUCAUCUGAAUGUCAAAGAUUUAUCGCUGAAAGAUGGCCUCGCGUCUGAUUAGCUGGUUGGUGAGGUAACGGCCCACCAAGGCGACGAUCAGUAGCCGGACUGAGAGGUUGACCGGCCACAUUGGGACUGAGAUACGGCCCAGACUCCUACGGGAGGCAGCAGUGGGGAAUAUUGGGCAAUGGGCGCAAGCCUGACCCAGCAACGCCGCGUGAAGGAAGAAGGCUUUCGGGUUGUAAACUUCUUUUAAGAGGGAAGAGCAGAAGACUGUACCUCUAGAAUAAGCCACGGCUAACUACGUGCCAGCAGCCGCGGUAAUACGUAGGUGGCAAGCGUUGUCCGGAUUUACUGGGUGUAAAGGGCGUGCAGCCGGGAAUGCAAGUCAGAUGUGAAAUCCAUGGGCUUAACCCAUGAACUGCAUUUGAAACUGUAUUUCUUGAGUACUGGAGAGGCAAUCGGAAUUCCUAGUGUAGCGGUGAAAUGCGUAGAUAUUAGGAGGAACACCAGUGGCGAAGGCGGAUUGCUGGACAGCAACUGACGGUGAGGCGCGAAAGUGUGGGGAGCAAACAGGAUUAGAUACCCUGGUAGUCCACACUGUAAACGAUGAAUACUAGGUGUGCGGGGACUGACCUCCUGCGUGCCGCAGUUAACACAAUAAGUAUUCCACCUGGGGAGUACGAUCGCAAGGUUGAAACUCAAAGGAAUUGACGGGGG